UUUCUGGAGGAUUACCUCAGCUACCGAAAAUAUAGCUACAGUACCCUUUUUUUUCCUGCUUUAUGGUCUGUCUUAACCAAAACCACGCAAUUCAACAACUGUGUGGAGGCCUCAAAUUCUAGCAUUCUGAGAGCCAUAGUCAAGAAAGAGUCUCUCAUCAUUUUAAUCAUGGAAACAGACCCUACUGAAGCCUCAAUGAUCUCACUUGUGAAGCGGUCAGCCCGAAAAACCAUCUUGAAAAGGAUUUGUACUAAGGAUCAGGCGUGUUAGAGAGAGAAGGAGAGGCCUAGGAACAACCGCCUCAGCCGUCAUUCUUGGUUACUUACAUCUGUGGUCAAUUUCCCACACUUUAUUCCAUAAAAGGUAAACGAGGCACGGUGCUUGCAACAAGAUAAUCUAAACAAUAUGAACAAUGUUACUGUUAAAGACCAUCUGGCUGAUCAUGCUCAGCCCAGACUUUUAACUCCUUGAGUUCCAGGAGAAGCUGCAAAUAUUCAAGUACAGACCAGACUCUCCAACUUGGAUCAGAACCGUGGUACUGAGGAAGAUGCGAAAGUUCUUCAGAGUUCAGGAGCAGCUCCAGGCAAACAACCCACCAGCUAAAAAAUCCAGACAGUGUCUACCUCCCACCUCCUCCCUCCUACACUCAUCCUUUCCCAGAGAUGGAACCAGCUGGAUCUAGCAAAUGGAAUCCAUCCCUCUAGGGCAAACUGGUCCCACACAUUGCACUGGAAGGAAAAGCAUCAGGGCUGGAAUGGCCCACAUUCGGUAACGUGGACAGGGCUGAAGUGUGCCUGAGAAGCAGUCAUUUGGGACCAGAGAGACACAGUAACAACACCUGUGGAGACAACAAUGAAGCUCAGAGCUUGCUGUGGAAAUGGAAGACUUUUGAUGGCAGAAACUGGUUUCUCUUUUUGUAUUUAUAAGCCCAGUUUCUUAUUUAUAGCAGGAGGUGCUGAUGGAACAGUGUUCUCUUCAGGGCUGACUUGGGCAUUCCCUACCAGCUGGGUAAUUCUCUGAGGGUAUGGGCAAGCUGUCAUUAGCAACUUGGUGCUGGUGGGAGAAGACAGGAAGUGAGAAACUCAUCAUGAUCCCCAACAAGCUUUCUGCCCCCCAUCCUCCGCACCCCAGCUUUAGGAAGAACCCACAUUGCUACAGGUUUCUGGUUGGAAAGUGCUGGAAGCCAAGGAGCUCCUCAACGGCCCAGCAGGGACUCGCUCAAUGAGUUUUUAAAGAUGAGCCAUCCUCUAUUGUUUCCAAUCACCUAUUAGAGAGAGGCCCACCUGGCAGAAACCCUUGGACAGGGGCGCACUGGUUAGAACAUAAGGAGCCACUGCUUACCAAAGUGAACCAGACACUUCCUUUGCCUGAGGAUUUCUGAGGAUAAAUAAGGUACACCCCCAACUUGGGCCCAAGGACUGACUCUUCUCCACUUCCAAGGAGCCCCCGCCCCCUCACUGCAGUAACUCACCCAGGUGGACCAGAUCCGAGCCUGGCCCCCGAAGGGGUUGCGACUUGGCAUAGAUGUUUUCUAUAACUGUCUGGGAUCUCUUUAGUGUGGGGUAUUCAUUAUUUAAGUUCUGUGGAAACUGUUUAGCUCUGAAGCCAACUGACUCAUCCUCCCCUUUAACUUUUUAUUUCCUGUAAGCGAUCCAUUAGUAUCUGGCAAGGUUCAGGUCACAACAUUGCUCCAUCAAAAGGGAACUGUUCUUAAGGGGCUAGGAGCUUUUUGUUAGGAGCUGAAUUUGAAUCAAGAUAGAAUUCUGUGCUGUGUAAUUAUGACGACCAACCUUAGCCCAGAGGAGAGACAAGAAAAUGCACCUCCCACCUCACAUACUGUCAGACUCGGUUGAUGUGUUGGCUAAUUACUUUCUCUCCCUUUCUUUUUUAUUCUUUGUUGCAGAUGGAUUUCUGGGUAGAGUAGCGGGGAAGGAGAUAUUUAGAAACAAAGGUGAUGCAAAAACGAAGUACAUCAAUAAAAAAAUGUUUGGAAAUGGAUGUGUUCUACAAACAAGGCUUUCUUAAAAGUUGUC
This is a long non-coding RNA of Trichosurus vulpecula (common brushtail), 2033 nucleotides long. RefSeq lists it as uncharacterized. The transcript has 6 exons. Lineage: Eukaryota; Metazoa; Chordata; Mammalia; Diprotodontia; Phalangeridae. The record is from RefSeq and is a predicted model, not a curated record.